This 24-nucleotide non-coding RNA is filed under the name Arabidopsis thaliana (thale cress). The record is from RNAcentral. Lineage: Eukaryota; Viridiplantae; Streptophyta; Magnoliopsida; Brassicales; Brassicaceae.
AAAGCUUGCAUGGUAGGUCUAUGG